GACGAACGCUGGCGGCGUGCUUAACACAUGCAAGUCGAACGGAAAGGCCCUGCUUUUGUGGGGUGCUCGAGUGGCGAACGGGUGAGUAACAUGUGAGUAACCUGCCCUUGACUUUGGGAUAACUGCAGGAAACUGGGGCUAAUACCGGAUAGGAGCUCCUGCUGCAUGGGGGGUGUUGGAAAGUUUCGGCGGUUGGGGAUGGACUCGCGGCUUAUCAGCUUGUUGGUGGGGUAGUGGCUUACCAAGGCUUUGACGGGUAGCCGGCCUGAGAGGGUGACCGGCCACAUUGGGACUGAGAUACGGCCCAGACUCCUACGGGAGGCAGCAGUGGGGAAUAUUGCACAAUGGGCGGAAGCCUGAUGCAGCAACGCCGCGUGCGGGAUGACGGCCUUCGGGUUGUAAACCGCUUUCGCCUGUGACGAAGCGUGAGUGACGGUAUUGGGUAAAGAAGCACCGGCUAACUACGUG
Molecule: ribosomal RNA, 468 nt
Filed under: uncultured bacterium
Lineage: Bacteria
Description: partial 16S ribosomal RNA
Rfam family: Bacterial small subunit ribosomal RNA
Source: RNAcentral